Long non-coding RNA from Scatophagus argus, 1041 nucleotides. RefSeq lists it as uncharacterized. NCBI's taxonomy places the organism in Eukaryota, Metazoa, Chordata, Actinopteri, Scatophagidae. The transcript has 3 exons. The record is from RefSeq and is a predicted model, not a curated record.
UAGGCCCCGAUAAUUGGCUGUCAUUUUGCAUAGUGGUGGCACUCUGGCUUUGGGGCAAAUGACUGUGGUCUUAUCUUUCACUUUUAAGGAAAAAUAAUGGACAAUUUAUCAUUAAUCUUCUCUGGGAAAUAAUAACAAGUUAAAUGUCAUUCCCCUUGUCGUGCCUUACAAAUAAAAUUGUGUUGCUCUGGGCCUGGGCUGAUCACUGACUGACCUAUCCUCUUCACUGUGAAGGUAGAGGAGAAAUCCAACACUGCGAGCAGGGCGACGGCAGGUUGGACCAGAAAACAUGAACAUAAAUCCUCUGCAAUGCCUAACGAUGAACGAGGGAGAUCAUAACUCUCCCACAGUGAAUGGAAAGAGGGAGGUCUGACAUUGCUCUGAGUGCUGUUGUUCUCGCGGCUGCGUCAAUAGCAGCGGCGGGAGUUGACCGUGACAGUUAAGAACCGCCGUGAACCGUCGGGCACGUCUGGGUGUCCUCGGAGCAGAGGGGACGGGACAGAGGCAGACGGGCCUGCCUCGACGGAUCAUGGUGGUGCUCAGGCCCAGGGUUUGUCGCUCGGAAGCAACAAACACGCAGGGAUUUGUGGUAGGCUGACAGCUUGUCCUGCUUUGUUUAACUUUCAUAGAGGUGGAUGGGGAGGCUUGGAAUGAUUCGAGGGCCCCGGGUGUGAUCUGAGACCAAGGAAGCAGCUCCCCUGAUCUGUCUGCUUCUCUGGGUGUGUUUCAGGGACAACAACCCAAGCAGCUUCAGACAAUAUGAUACUGCUCAGCUGGUUCAGGAUCAGUGGAUUUUUGGUUGAAAUGAAUCCCAUGUACCUGCAGUGUCCCCAGUUUGAUUCCAGCUGGGAAACUACGCGAAUGACAUGUUUGUUCUCUCUGAACUCUCCGCUCUUCUAUUUAAAUGGCAGGGUUUUUCUUAGGAGUUAAAGGUUCUGUAGGUGGCGCUCUAAGCUUUGCCUGUUGAGCUACAGUGACUACUCGUCCUCCUCCGUCUUCCUGCUGUUGCUGUCCGUGACUUCAGCAUGAGUUUGUGUUUUA